AUUGAACGCUGGCGGCAUGCCUUACACAUGCAAGUCGAACGGCAGCGGGGGAGAAGCUUGCUUUUCCUGCCGGCGAGUGGCGAACGGGUGAGUAAUACAUCGGAACGUGCCCCGUAGUGGGGGAUAACUAGUCGAAAGAUUAGCUAAUACCGCAUACGACCUGAGGGUGAAAGUGGGGGACCGCAAGGCCUCAUGCUAUAGGAGCGGCCGAUGUCUGAUUAGCUAGUUGGUGGGGUAAAGGCCUACCAAGGCGACGAUCAGUAGCUGGUCUGAGAGGACGAUCAGCCACACUGGGACUGAGACACGGCCCAGACUCCUACGGGAGGCAGCAGUGGGGAAUUUUGGACAAUGGGCGAAAGCCUGAUCCAGCAAUGCCGCGUGUGUGAAGAAGGCCUUCGGGUUGUAAAGCACUUUUAUCCGGAAAGAAAUGGCUCUGGUUAAUACCUGGGGUCGAUGACGGUACCGGAAGAAUAAGCACCGGCUAACUACGUGCCAGCAGCCGCGGUAA
RNAcentral lists this ribosomal RNA (508 nucleotides) under uncultured bacterium. Its description in RNAcentral is "partial 16S ribosomal RNA". It matches the Rfam family "Bacterial small subunit ribosomal RNA", at positions 30 to 523 of the family's 1533-position model. The record is from RNAcentral.